UUAGAGUUUGAUCCUGGCUCAGGAUGAACGCUGGCGGCGUGCUUAACACAUGCAAGUCGAACGGGGUACCCUUGACAGAGGCUUCGGCCAAUUGAUAGGAAUACCUAGUGGCGGACGGGUGAGUAACGCGUGAGGAACCUGCCUUGGAGUGGGGAAUAACAGUUAGAAAUAGCUGCUAAUACCGCAUAAUGCAACUAAGUCGCAUGGCUUUGGUUGCCAAAGAUUUAUCGCUCUAAGAUGGCCUCGCGUCUGAUUAGAUAGUUGGCGGGGUAACGGCCCACCAAGUCGACGAUCAGUAGCCGGACUGAGAGGUUGGCCGGCCACAUUGGGACUGAGACACGGCCCAGACUCCUACGGGAGGCAGCAGUGGGGAAUAUUGGGCAAUGGGCGCAAGCCUGACCCAGCAACGCCGCGUGAAGGAAGAAGGCCCUCGGGUUGUAAACUUCUUUUAUUCGGGACGAAACAAAUGACGGUACCGAAUGAAUAAGCCACGGCUAACUACGUGCCAGCAGCCGCGGUAAUACGUAGGUGGCAAGCGUUAUCCGGAUUUACUGGGUGUAAAGGGCGUGUGGGCGGGAGAGCAAGUCAGACGUGAAAUUCCAGGGCUCAACCCUGGAACUGCGUUUGAAACUGUUCUUCUUGAGUGUCGGAGAGGUAAUCGGAAUUCCUUGUGUAGCGGUGAAAUGCGUAGAUAUAAGGAAGAACACCAGUGGCGAAGGCGGAUUACUGGACGAUAACUGACGGUGAGGCGCGAAAGCGUGGGGAGCAAACAGGAUUAGAUACCCUGGUAGUCCACGCUGUAAACGAUCGAUACUAGGUGUGCGGGGACUGACCCCCUGCGUGCCGGAGUUAACACAAUAAGUAUCGCACCUGGGGAGUACGAUCGCAAGGUUGAAACUCAAAGGAAUUGACGGGGGCCCGCACAAGCGGUGGAUUAUGUGGUUUAAUUCGAAGCAACGCGAAGAACCUUACCAGGGCUUGACAUCCUACUAACGAAGUAGAGAUACAUUAGGUGCCCUUCGGGGGAAGUAGAGACAGGUGGUGCAUGGUUGUCGUCAGCUCGUGUCGUGAGAUGUUGGGUUAAGUCCCGCAACGAGCGCAACCCUUAUUGUUAGUUGCUACGCAAGAGCACUCUAGCGAGACUGCCGUUGACAAAACGGAGGAAGGUGGGGACGACGUCAAAUCAUCAUGCCCCUUAUGGCCUGGGCUACACACGUACUACAAUGGCACUUAACAACGAGAAGCAAAGCCGCGAGGCGGAGCGAAACUCCAAAAAGUGUCUCAGUUCAGAUUGCAGGCUGAAACUCGCCUGUAUGAAGUCGGAAUUGCUAGUAAUCGCGGAUCAGCAUGCCGCGGUGAAUACGUUCCCGGGCCUUGCACACACCGCCCGUCA
Molecule: ribosomal RNA, 1393 nt
Filed under: uncultured bacterium
Lineage: Bacteria
Description: 16S ribosomal RNA
Rfam family: Bacterial small subunit ribosomal RNA
Source: RNAcentral